AAGAUCAGUGAGAAUCUGAUCCACCGUAUGACUAAGGUUUCCUGGGGAAGGCUCGUCCUCCCAGGGUUAGUCGGGAUCUAAGGCGAGGCCGCAAGGCGUAGUCGAUGACAAGCAGGUUGAGAUUCCUGCACUAGUUUAUUUUGUUUAAGCGAUGGAGGGACGCAGGAGGCUAAGGAAAGCGCACGGCUGGAAAAGUGCGUCCAAGCAGUAAGUCCGGUGGCGAGUGAAAUGCUUGCCGCCUUAAGGACAAGCUGUGAUGGGGAGCGAAAUUAAAGUAGCGAAGUUCCUGAUGUCACACUGCCAAGAAAAGCUUCUAGUGAGAAAUAAACUACCCGUACCGCAAACCGACACAGGUAGUCGAGGAGAGUAUCCUCAGGUGAGCGAGCGAACUCUCGUUAAGGAACUCGGCAAAAUGACCCCGUAACUUCGGAAGAAG
This 436-nucleotide ribosomal RNA is filed under the name Lacticaseibacillus rhamnosus. RNAcentral describes it as "bacterial LSU rRNA". It matches the Rfam family "Bacterial large subunit ribosomal RNA", at positions 1314 to 1745 of the family's 2925-position model. The record is from RNAcentral. Lineage: Bacteria; Bacillati; Bacillota; Bacilli; Lactobacillales; Lactobacillaceae.